CGCUCUGCCUGCGCUGUGAGGGGCUCCGAGCGGCGGUGCUCCGCUGUCGUGCGCUUUGUUCUGCGACAGACUUUUCCUAUCCCUCCCCAGUGAACCGGUUAUGUGCCUGAGAAGUCCAUGUCAGCACUCUCAAACAGGACGGGCUGUGCACUGCAGAGGAGAUUGCACACCUGAAAAACCUUCUACUGUCCCUACAUUUCGCUGUUCUACAGGCAACUGCCGGGCAUGUGCAUGACUUAUGGAGCUGUUCAGCAAAUGCUGAUGUCUGUAGAAGUGUAAGAUGAAGUUUCCACCAGUUUCAGAAAGGAUUCAUACAGCUUUCAAAAAUAUCAUUUAAAAUCAUCACAGUAGAUACUAAGGAAGGAAAUAAAAUAAGCCUACACGUCAGCCUGUGAUUCAC
Molecule: long non-coding RNA, 400 nt
Filed under: Gallus gallus (chicken)
Lineage: Eukaryota; Metazoa; Chordata; Aves; Galliformes; Phasianidae
Description: long non-coding RNA NONGGAT002252
Source: RNAcentral